Dendronephthya gigantea is the source of this 658-nucleotide long non-coding RNA. RefSeq lists it as uncharacterized. The transcript is spliced from 4 exons. The record is from RefSeq and is a predicted model, not a curated record. NCBI's taxonomy places the organism in Eukaryota, Metazoa, Cnidaria, Anthozoa, Malacalcyonacea, Nephtheidae.
AGUACUGCAUGUACAAAUAUUAUAAUACACCUCAAAUAUAACUACAUCAACUGUGUAUAAAAACUGCAGUUUUGAAUUGGAUCCCACAAAAUUGGAACGUGGAAACAAACUUUUUAGAAUCUUUUUGUUAAAACGAAUUUCUUGUUUCAGGUCGAGGGGCAAAACGGGUAGAAGGGGAACCGAGGCACAACGCAUAUCACAUCCAGUUAACAAAUAAAUCUUCUUAUGUCAUCUAGGUAUAAUGCAGAACAGAGGUAUUGUAUUAUGGUGUUGGUUCCACUUAUUACGGUGGUGCUGGACAACUAUAUUCUAGUCAACCACUUCCUCGUGGUCAGCCAAGGAACUGCCAACGAUGACCUUCUCGGAGCAGAACAAAAGCUAUUCGGAGGCAUGUCAUUUAGUGUUUAUCAGUUAACUGGACUUUGUGAGAGUUUUCUUGCAAAAUGUUUGCCAAGGUGGCGAUCGAAGGUGGACAGCAAGAUCGAAGCUCAACAAGAUAGAAGAUUGUUCGAGGAAGAAGGAGUUCGCCGUUGACUAAAAGGUUUAUCUGAACAGCUAGUUGUCAAGAUGAAGGUGAAGACUCGCCCGGCCAAAUUCAAAAUGGCGAUGCCAAAGAAAACCAUCCACGUGGACCGUUCGCCGACCUUUCUGAGCAAGA